UACGUAGGGUGCGAGCGUUAAUCGGAAUUACUGGGCGUAAAGCGUACGCAGGCGGCUGCGCAAGACAGGUGUGAAAUCCCCGGGCUUAACUUGGGAAUUGCGCUUGUGACUGGCGUGCUGGAGUGUGGCAGAGGGAGGUGGAAUUCCACGUGUAGCAGUGAAAUGCGUAGAGAUGUGGAGGAACACCGAUGGCGAAGGCAGCCUCCUGGGCCAGCACUGACGCUCAUGCACGAAAGCGUGGGGAGCAAACAGG
Molecule: ribosomal RNA, 253 nt
Filed under: uncultured bacterium
Lineage: Bacteria
Description: partial 16S ribosomal RNA
Rfam family: Bacterial small subunit ribosomal RNA
Source: RNAcentral